UCGUCAACAGAACACAAACAACACAGUACCGUACAAUACAUCACCGUACAAUACAUCACCGUACAAUACUUGCCGUGUACAGUGUACAGUUGGCAUUGUAGAUCUCUAGAACUUCACAAAAUCUCAGACAUAAUAGUCGAUCAGAUAGUUCGAUUAUCCAAUUCAACGGUUCAGUAGAAACAGUGUGAAAUUAAAGUGAACAAUAAUGUUUCUGAAAUAAAAUAAAGUUGAGGUUGAGUUGAAGAAAAGAGAAUUCCCAACCGUGCCAAAAUGAUGAUUCGUAUCACUUGUUUAUUAUUCCUCGUACAUCUAUUAACAGGUAUAUCCUGUAAUCAAGAGUUCUCUACUGAACCUGCGAAUGUUGAAGUUACUCCUGGACAUAAUACAACUCUAGACUGUACAAUCAGUAAUCUAAAGGGACAGUGCAGGUGGCAGAAGGAUGGCAAGCCUGUUGGAAUGUUCCCUGGUAAAUAUGAGAUGAGAAGAGAAGGGGAGGGAGAAGGAGACUGUUCACUUUCUGUACUCAAUGUUGAUCUCAAGUUUGAUGAUGGACUAUGGGAAUGUCAGGUGACCUCCAGUAGUUUCCAGGCUCAGGAUUCUCUUGUGUCGAGGAAAGCUCGUCUGACCGUCAGAGUUCCUCCUGAGAUGAUAACCAUCCAGUACUCUGGGAGCAGUGUAGUGGAGGGGGGCAUCAUCACCCUGGUGGAGGACAAGCAGGAGAACAUCGUCUGCAUCACAAGAUUCAGCAACCCUGCUCCAAUUAUAUCCUGGAGACUUGGAGGCAAUAUUUACCCUUCAAUUUCACAGGAAAAUUUUACCGAAGCUGUUCCGAGUAAAUUUCGGAGUGAAGGAACGCUAGCCCUAGCUUUUACACAGAAAAAUCAGGGCGAGAGACUAGAAUGUGUUGUUAGCCAUCCUGCAUAUCUGGAGGGGGAUGGGUCAACACAUGUAGAAAUAGACGUUCUAUAUAAACCGCGCGUUGAAAUUACUCGUGUCUCAAAUUCCGUGGUGGAGGAAGGUAUUGGAAGCGUAGCGUUGACCUGCUCAGCUGUUGGUAACCCUCCUCCUAGGGUUCUAUGGACCAGGUUUGGUGAGGAUACACCACAAUAUGUGGAGACCAUAGAAUUCAACCCGGUUACCCGACAAAACGCAGGUUCAUACAUUUGUUCAGCCGAAAAUACAAUUGGUAAAUCUAAUCAGGAAACUACACAAGUUGAUGUUCUAUAUGCUCCUGAAAUAGUAUCCUUAAGCCCUCGUGAAACUGUGCUAGUGAUGGCUAGAAACCAGACUAAGUUGACCUGCACUGCUAGCGGUAACCCGGAGCCAAAAUAUCAGUGGCUUCAGCUACAGCAGUCCCAGGUUGUAAAAAAACGAUCUGUAACCCCCGACCUCAUUCUUGAUGAUGUAAACUACGAGGACCAAGGGGAGUAUGUUUGCGAGGCCGUUAAUAUGAUCGGAGGUGAGAAGAGGGUUGUGAGGAGCGAGGUUGUUAAGGUGGAGGUUGAAGGUGUUCCCUUGGUAACGAGGAUGGUGAAUGAGGUUGUAGCAGUGAGUGGACGUGAUGUGAGGCUAGAGGCUGAAUUCUGUUCUGAUCCUCUACCUCUAAGAAAUACCUGGGAGUGGGAGGAUAUUAGUCUACCAGCAGGCACUGAAAUAGAGAGAAGUGGAACUAAGUAUUCCGCUGAACUAGAGGAACAUCCCAGUAAUAAGGAUUGUUAUAUAUCCAGGUUGACCCUGAAGGGUGUUGGACAAGCUGAUAGUCGCAGCUAUACCUUAAACGUAGAGAAUAUGCAUGGAACUGAUCUAGCGCCGGUCAAACUAGCUGUAAGAGAAGAGCACAGAGCUGAUCCUGUAUCUAUGGCAUCAGUUAUCGGUGUAGUGAUUGCUCUCCUAAUCAUCUUUGUCCUGUUAUCGAUCAUAUUAUUGGUCGCGUACAAGAAACAGAAACUUUGCUUUAAAGAUGGGGAUCUGGACGCACUUGAGAAAUCAAAGAGCAACAAGUACUCAUCAUACAACGGAAUAGAUGUUAAAGAUAUUUCUCCCAUCAAGGAGAAACAAACAGCAUUCCCUCCCAGCACCAAGGUUUAGUUCCGAAAAGCACCGACGGAGGAACUAACUGCAGUUAGUUCUUGAUUGCACCGCUACACUUUGACUAGCAGCACUAGUCACUAUAGUUCCACAGCUAAAUGGUUCACCAGUAUACCACUAUAAUGGAGAUAUUGGUGUUCCAAUUUAUCAGCUUUAUGUUCCCUCAAGUUUAUCCUCCCUGGCGAGCCAUAACUCUACAGCCGGUCAAAC
This 2298-nucleotide unclassified non-coding RNA is filed under the name Eurytemora carolleeae. Its description in RNAcentral is "kin of IRRE-like protein 1". The record is from RNAcentral. Lineage: Eukaryota; Metazoa; Arthropoda; Copepoda; Calanoida; Temoridae.